This is an RNA transcript of Hipposideros armiger (great roundleaf bat), 4568 nucleotides long. It is a transcript of the gene named thioredoxin domain containing 16, with no coding region annotated. The transcript is spliced from 24 exons. Lineage: Eukaryota; Metazoa; Chordata; Mammalia; Chiroptera; Hipposideridae. The record is from RefSeq and is a predicted model, not a curated record.
GCCCUGCAGGCCGAAUCCACUGAGUGUUGGCCGCGGUAGGCGCUGCGCUUUCUCUUGGGACUAGCGGGGCUAGGCCCCGCCCUCUGCUUCUCCUUCACGUGGCGGGAGCUGUGGGCCGCGCGCAGAUAAUAUAGAUUAUCAGUAGAAAAGCUUUCUGAAAGAAGAAAUUCUUUAAGAGAAAUUUGAAAGGAGCAAAACAGAAGAGAAUUGACAGCAGAUACAGAGAACAGCAUGGAAAUUUUACUUCAUUUAUUCAACAAAUUUAUUCAGUAAAAUUUUGUUGAACACCUACGUACUCUUGGCCAGGUAUUGUCCAAGACAACAGAAUACAGAACUGAAUAAAACAGAAUACCCUGUCCAUAUACAACUAUAGCUCAUGAUGUCUUCCAGUUUCAAUGUAUUUAGAGUUGGCAUCUCUUUUGUCGUGGUGUGCAUUUUUUAUAAGUCAGCAGUGGACUCUCUACCAGAACUGAGUCCUCAGAAAUAUUUCAGUACCUUGCAAUCAGGAAAAGCCUCCUUAGCUUAUUUUUGUCAAGCUGAUUCUCCAAGUACCUCUAUAUUUCUUGAAGAACUGAAUAAGGCUGUUAAACCUCUCCAGGACUAUGGAAUUUCAGUUGCAAAGGUUAAUUGUGUCAAAGAAGAAGCAUCAAGAUACUGUGGAAAAGAAAAGGAUUUGAUGAAAGCAUAUUUAUUCAGGGGCAACAUAUUACUCAGAGAAUUCCCUACUGAUACCUUGUUUGAUGUGAAUGCCAUCAUUGCUCAUGUUCUCUUUGCUCUUCUUUUUAAUGAAGUCAAAUAUGUUACCACCCUGGAAGGCCUUCAGAAUAUAGAAAACGCUCUGAAAGGAAAAGCAAACAUUGCAUUUGCGUAUGUCAGAGCCAUUGGAACACCAGGAACCUCAGAGCACAGGGCAGUCAUGGAAUCUGCUUUUGUAUAUGGGACCACAUACCAAUUUGUCUUAACCACAGAAACUGCCCUUCUGGGAAGUAUUGGCACAGAGGAUGUAGAAUAUGCACAUCUCUACUUUUUUCACUGUAAACCAGUCUUGGACUUGACCCAGCAAUGUAGAAGAACACUAAUGGAACAGCCACUGACGACACUGAACAUUUAUCAAUUUAUUAAGUCAAUGGAAGCACCACUGCUGACCGAAGUUGCUGAAGAUCCUCAGCAAGUUUCAACUGUUCAUCUCCAACUCGGAUUGCCACUGGUGUUUAUUGUUAGUCAACAAGCUACAUAUGAAGCUGACAGAAGAACUGCAGAGUGGGUUGCUUGGCGUCUUCUGGGGAAAGCGGGAGUUCUACUCUUGUUAAGGGACUCUUUGGAGGUAGACAUUCCUCAGCAGGCCAACGUGGUCUUCAAAAGAGAAGAGGGAAUGCCAGUGGAAUAUUUGGUGUUACACGAUAUUGAUUUAGUGAUAUCCCAUGUGGAAAAUAACAUGUACACCGAGGAAAUACGAGAAGAUGAAGACGAUGACAUAGAAGGUCCAGAUAUGGACACUUUAGGAAUUGAAGAUGAUGAAGUGGCAGAAACUGUUUACAGAGAUAAGAAGAGACAGUUACCUUUGGAACUCACAGUGGAACUAACAGAAGAGACAUUUAAUGGGACAGUAACGGCUUCUGACAGCAUAGUGCUUUUCUAUGCUGGUUGGCAAGCAGUAUCCAUGGCAUUUCUGCAAUCCUAUAUCGAUUUGGCAAUUAAAUUGAAAGGCACAUCCACUAUGCUGCUGGCUAGAGUAAACUGUGCAGAUUGGUCUGAUGUAUGUACCAAGCAAAAUGUCACUGAAUUUCCAGCUGUAAAGAUGUACAAGGAAGGUGAGAACCCAGUAUCUUAUGCUGGCAUGUUAGGAACAGAAGAUCUCCUAAAAUUUAUCCAGCUCAACAGGAUUUCCUGUCCAGUGAACAUAACGUCUGUCCAAGAAGCAGAAGAAUAUUUACAUGGGGAAUUAUAUAAAGACCUGAUCUCUCAUUCUAGAGUAUCAGUGCUGGGACUAUUUAGUCCAACCAUGACAACAGCAAAAGAAAAUUUCACUGAAGCAGGAAAGUACCUAAAAGGAUAUGUCAUCACUGGAAUUUAUUCUGAAGAAGAUGUUUCAAUAUUGUCAAAUAAAUAUACUGCAACUCUUCCUACCCUGCUGUUAGCCAGACACAAAGAAGACAAAGUAGAGAGCAUUCCAUUAGCUAACACCCAUGCGCAAGACAUAAUUCAAAUAAUAACAAAUUCAUUACUGGAAACAUUUCCAGAAAUCACUGUAGAAAAUCUUCCCACUUAUUUAAGGCUUCAGAAACCAUUGCUUACUUUAUUCAGUGAUGGCAACAUAAACCCUCAGUAUAAAAAAGCAAUAUUGACACUGAUAAAAGAGAAACACUUGGAUUCACUUACCCCCUGCUGGUUAAAUCUAAAGAAUACUCCUGUGGGCAGAAGAAUCUUGCAGGCAUAUUUUGAUGCUCUACCUCCCCUUCCUGUUCUUGUUGUGGUGAAUCUGCAUUCAGGUGGCCAAGUGUUUGCAUUUCCUUCAGACCAGGCUGUAACUGAACAAAACCUUUUAUUGUGGCUUGAGAAAUUAGAAGCAGGACUAGAAAGUCCUAUCACAAUUUUACCUGCUCAGGAAUGGAAACCUCCUCUUCCUGCUUACAAUUUUCUGCGUAUGAUGGAUGCUGCAGCAUUUCAACAUUCCAGUAGGAAAGGCCCUGAGUGUAUGGAAGACACUGGUGUUCAGGAGAAUGAUCAAGAACAGCAUGAAGAUAAACCAGCAAUCAGAAAAGAACCGACUGAAACAUUGAGAAUAAAGCACUGGAAUAGAAGUCUUUCUGUCACAUCCUCCUGUCCAUUUUUGAGACCUUCAGAAGCCUUCUGUCUACCCCCUAAGUGGUUGUAGUUUUCCUACAUGUCCCCCUGAUUCUCAAAAGACUUCCUGGCUAGUGCACAUGUACAUUUUGCGUAAUAUCAUCCCUCAUGAAUCAGAUUCUUUCACCCUCUCUUGCCGCACCUAAACAUCUUGGUCCAUUGCUCCCAGCCCUUGUGAUGAAAUAUUCCAUGAGUUGUUUUUCCAAAAUUCCUGAUUUCAUUAUUCAAGCUUGUGCUUCAUUUAAAAACUAAAUGUGUAUAUUUGGUAACAGUAAGUAAUCAAAUAGGUAUACCUUGAGAGCUGUGCUUAAAUUAAGCUUAAUGGGUAGAAAGCUGCAAGAGAAUGUUACUGCCAUCCUAAUAACAAGGGAAAAAAAUCUUAACUUUUCUUAUACUCAUCAAAGAAGGCAACCAAAGAAACUGAAUUCCAGAGUGACAAGCCUUUUCAAGGAGAGAUGGGAUACAUGAACUGUUUCACCUUUGGCAGUCGGAGAGAGAGCAAACCUUCCUGCCUCCAGGGCCCAGGCAAAGAUCUGCCUCUGGGGGAGGGGCAAAUGUAAAACUCUCUGCCCCUAGGGAGUGGCAGAAAACCUCUUGGGCCCAGGAUCCUGCACCAAUCCCAAGCAAAAUCUGCUAUUACUGGGAGAAAUGCAGGAUCAUCUCUCCUGUUCAACAACUAUGAGAAAUAGCCAUGUUUAGCUGCCAUGGGGGUGGAGGUAGAAAUUCUGAGAAGGCGCCACGCCCCCUACCCUCCCAGGGUUGACUGCACAGGCCAAGAAUGCAACAGAAGAACCAAGAACUACCUCCACCCAUCAGCAGCUUAGUAUCAAAUUACAAGCAACAAAAGCUCACCACUUUGGGAAGCCCAAUAUUGUAGAAUGACACAGGUAUAGCAGGACUUGCUGUAAGCUGAGAGCGGAGCCAGGAAACAAACCCUCUGGCACCCAGAUCCAACUCUAAGUAUGAGGUAAUAGCAGCCAAUCCCUGGAGGAACAUGCAGACUGUGGUGCACCAAAGAUGUGUGGCAUUCAGUCUAAAAUUCUAAGACUAAAAAAAAACCAACAAGUAACAGAAAAUAAUCCAUUGUCAAGAGAUGAAACAGAUGACAGAGCGAAACUCAGAGAUGACCCAGAUAUUUGAACUGUAAGACAGAAACUUUAAAAUAACUAUGAUUAAUCUGUUAAAGGAUUUAGUGGAAAAGGUGGGCAAUAUACAUGAAUAGUUGUGGAAUUUUGGCUGUGAUGGAAAAGUUAGAAAAAAAAAUGCCAUCAGCAAUGAAGAAUGCCUUUGGUGGGCUUAUCAAUAGAAUUGGCACAGCAGAAAGGAAUCUGAACUUGAUAAGUCAAUGGAAAUUAUGCAAAGUGAAAUACAAAGAGAAAACAAUAAUAAAGCAGGACAAUUCAAAAGCUCUGGGAUAAUACCUGUUUAACAUAUAUGGUAUUGGAAUUACAGAAGAGAAAACAGGAUUACUUGAAGAGAUAAUGGCUGAAGAAUUUUAAAAAUUAAUGAAAGACAAUAAAUCACAGAAAUAAGAUGUGCAGAGAAGCCCAAAUAAGAUAAAAAACAAACAAACCCAGUAUAUCAUAGCGAAAUUACUAAAACCAAAGAUAAACAGAAUAUCUUGAAAAUGGCCAGAGCAAAGAAACAUUCCCAUUCAUCUCUCUUGCUUGCUUUCUCACUGUUCUUUUAUAAAACCCUUUAAGAAAUAUAAAAGCCAUUCCUUG